UGGGGAAUUUUGCACAAUGGGGGAAACCCUGAUGCAGCGACGCCGCGUGAUUUAGAAGGCCUUCGGGUUGUAAAAAUCUUUUUUACGGGAUGAAAAUGACAGUACCGUAAGAAUAAGGUCCGGCUAAAUACGUGCCAGCAGCCGCGGUAAUACGUAUGGACCGAGCGUUGUCCGGAAUCAUUGGGCGUAAAGGGUACGUAGGCGGCCUAAUAAGUUAGAAGUGAAAGAAUAUAGCUCAACUAUAUAAAGCUUUUAAAACUGUUAGGCUUAAGAGAUGAAAGGGAAAGUGGAAUUCCUAGUGUAGCGGUGAAAUGCGCAGAUAUUAGGAAGAAUACCGGUGGCGAAGGCGACUUUCUGGUCAUCAUCUGACGCUGAGGUACGAAAGCGUGGGUAGCAAACAGG
RNAcentral lists this ribosomal RNA (402 nucleotides) under bacterium. RNAcentral's name for it is "partial 16S ribosomal RNA". It matches the Rfam family "Bacterial small subunit ribosomal RNA", at positions 355 to 776 of the family's 1533-position model. The record is from RNAcentral.